Long non-coding RNA from Mercurialis annua (annual mercury), 413 nucleotides. RefSeq lists it as uncharacterized. Lineage: Eukaryota; Viridiplantae; Streptophyta; Magnoliopsida; Malpighiales; Euphorbiaceae. The record is from RefSeq and is a predicted model, not a curated record. The transcript has 3 exons.
GAUCAGCCUCUUUUCGAACCCUAAAACCUAAAAACGAUCUAUUACACUUAUAGACCUAUAUUUCUUCAUUCCAAAACGUUCGGGUUCAUUUCAUUACGCUAAGUGUGUGAUUUUAUGUUCCUCUCGCAAGAUUUAAGUGCGUUCUUCGUCGCGUUCAUCGGUGGUGUGUUGGUGGCUUCACUUAGUUUUGGUCCAGACCUUUAUUCUUGAUCUAUUUUCAUCAUACAUCAGUUCAUACAUCAAUCUUAGACUCGUCGAAUGUUCGUGCUUCGGAGACGAAUCAGGAUUAGUUUGCUUGCCAGGUUAUCACGUGGAUUAGCAAGCAGGUUAUGAUCUGAGAGAGUCUGGUGAUCUCCGCAUUUACUUUUCCUCGGAGGUUCCAUUUAUUUUGAUAAACUGUCAAACUAUUUUAU